UUGAAAGCUUCCUAGCACAGCAGAUAGCCCGCUCCUGAAUGAAGUCUAGCAUCUUUGACGUUUCCAUGGUCUUCUACAUCAAGAUCUGCCAUUAAACAUGGUCAGUGACUCCAAAAUGAAUGGAGAAAGGUAAGAAAGCACUGUGAUUCCCAUUCUACAGGCGAGGGAUGGAGAGCAAAAGACAGUGGUGAGCCAGGCUAUAUGCAUCCAGGGAAAGAAACUUCCUUCCAAGAGCUAUGAAGUGUUACCUGUCCCUCAGCCUCUCUACAUGCAAGUAAUGGAUUUUAAUUUAGAAGUUCCAUAUGUACAAUGUAUUAUAUAGUAGACAGUGUUUCAGAAUAAUCCAAUAAAAGGUGAAAACUUUUCUAUACCA
This 373-nucleotide long non-coding RNA is filed under the name Numida meleagris (helmeted guineafowl). RNAcentral describes it as "lncRNA (ENSNMEG00000005112.1)". Lineage: Eukaryota; Metazoa; Chordata; Aves; Galliformes; Numididae. The record is from RNAcentral.